Molecule: long non-coding RNA, 1826 nt
Filed under: Homo sapiens (human)
Lineage: Eukaryota; Metazoa; Chordata; Mammalia; Primates; Hominidae
Description: non-protein coding lnc-ACTL8-1:3
Source: RNAcentral
GCACUAAAGACCACACGCUCCAUUGAACAUUUAUGGCUGCAAAUGGCUCCUCCGUGCAGGGGGCUGCGCAUGCUUAGGGUGAGCUGGCAGGCACUGGUAUUGUUAUUCUUAUUUUACAGGUGAGGACAUGGAAGCACAGGGAGGUUAUGCCACUCGCCCAAAGACAACUAAUCAGUGACAGCUGAGACUUGGACUGCAGAACCUACACUUUAUAACUAUUUUACAGUUCUGGGCGUCACGGAAUCUUGCAUGAAGAGCCCCUAACCUGGCCCGGGUGGAGGUCAGGGAGGUCUUCCUGGAAGAGGGGGUUCUUGGCAGCAACUUGCUGGAUUUGGUGUUCCCUGUUGGUUGGUCAGUCGCUAGACAGUUAUUCACUGAGCUCUGAGAACAGGCUGGGCCCUGCUCCAGGCCUUGGUUGGACAGCAGGGAACAAGGCUGGGGGAAAUGACUCCCGAGAAAAUGGACAUGUGUGACCCUGGGUUCUGGGAAGGCAGGGAGGGAAGACAAGUACCAGAGGCACAGCGAGGGUCUCUCUGGAGCCACAGGGAGAGGGGAGGGAUGCACAGGCCUGGUGUGCUGCAGGGCCUGAGCCUGUGGCUGCUUCUGGCCAGGAAAGAAGCCAACGUUACUUAAAGAAGUUAUUCAUGUAACCAAAUACCACCUGUUCCCCAAAACCCUAUGGAAAUAAAAAAUUAAAAAAAAUAAAAAAGAGUAAGCAACAACAAAAUAAAUAAAUAAAUAAAUUUAAAAAAUAAUAAAAAAAGAAACCCACAUUACCAAGUGUUUGCGAAGUGCCAGGAGCCACCCUAAAAACAGUCCUGUGGGGUGCAGCCAUUGUCAUCUGCAGUUUCAGAUGGCUCUGCUUCCUCAGUGUCAGCAUCAUUCACAGCAGGCAUGUCCCUCCUGCCUCCAAGAGAGUCACCAGCAGCUUCCUCCUCCACAUCUGUGAGUAAAUGAGAGGGUCUAUUCCACCCAAUAACUCAAAUCCCAGUUUCAGGAUUUGACCUGUGGUUGGUCAGACUAGGGACACAAGCCCAUUCCUGAGCCAAUCACUGUGGCUGAAGAGGUGGGAGACACUGAUUGGUCUAAGCCAGUCAAGCACUCUCAAGGCCAAAGUGCAUGGGCAAGAAAUUUAGGACAAGGGGAGGAAGAAAGAAAAGAAAAGAGAAUAUCAAGGAGGCAAAUGACAAAUAAAUACCCACUCCUUUCUUCCCACGAGAGAGAUAUUAUUCCCCCCAUUUCAUGGAGGAGGAAACUGACGAUCAGAGCAGCCAGGAAACAGGAUGGCGUUGUCUGCUGAGGGACGGUGUGUUCCCUGGAGAGGAGAUCCAGCUUGCCAUUGUGGGUUUCUUACAGCAAAAAUCCUGUGUGUACACAUAUGCUGAACAAGGCGCACACAGUCUUCAUACUUCUUUCCCCAAAUCCACUGUUGUACCUCACUCUGGAAACCAAAGAAUACAAAUGGAGAUGAGGCUAAUUUUUGCCCCUCAAAUUGGCAAAGGUGAAUAAAACCAUGUUUCUUGGGUUCUCUCUCUCUCUCUGGCCAUUCACUGUGGGGGAAGUCAGUUCCAUGCCCUGAGUCCAUUCAGGCAGCUUGUGAAGAGGCCCACAUGGCCAAUAGCCAGUGAGGAACUGAGGCCUGCAGUGACCACUUGGAUGAGCUUGGAAGCACGUCCUCCAGCCCCAGUCAAGUCUUGAGGUGAGACCACAGUCCUGGCCAACAGGUGACUACAACAUCACGGGAAACCCAAAGCCAUUCAGCUAAGCCACUCUCAGAUUGCUGAUCCCCAGAAGCUGCAUGAGAUAAUAAAUGUUUGUUGUUUUAA